RNAcentral lists this ribosomal RNA (425 nucleotides) under uncultured bacterium. RNAcentral's name for it is "partial 16S ribosomal RNA". It matches the Rfam family "Bacterial small subunit ribosomal RNA", at positions 354 to 796 of the family's 1533-position model. The record is from RNAcentral.
GUGGGGAAUCUUGCGCAAUGGGCGAAAGCCUGACGCAGCCAUGCCGCGUGAAUGAUGAAGGUCUUAGGAUUGUAAAAUUCUUUCACCGGGGACGAUAAUGACGGUACCCGGAGAAGAAGCCCCGGCUAACUUCGUGCCAGCAGCCGCGGUAAUACGAAGGGGGCUAGCGUUGCUCGGAAUUACUGGGCGUAAAGGGCGCGUAGGCGGACAGUUUAGUCAGAGGUGAAAGCCCAGGGCUCAACCUUGGAAUUGCCUUUGAUACUGGCUGUCUUGAGUACGGGAGAGGUGAGUGGAACUCCGAGUGUAGAGGUGAAAGUCGUAGAUAUUCGGAAGAACACCAGUGGCGAAGGCGACUCACUGGCCCAAUACUGACGCUGAGGCGCGAAAGCGUGGGGAGCAAACAGGAUUAGAUACCCCUGUAGUCC